This is a long non-coding RNA of Myotis myotis, 319 nucleotides long. RefSeq lists it as uncharacterized. Lineage: Eukaryota; Metazoa; Chordata; Mammalia; Chiroptera; Vespertilionidae. The transcript is spliced from 3 exons. The record is from RefSeq and is a predicted model, not a curated record.
CGGUCACGCUUCCCACCUCGGUCCGACCGGGUCUGCUCCUGCCCUCCCGCCCCCGCCCCGGAACUGGCCAGGGUCGUGACUUCUGUCUCCGUCUGUUUGGAAACUACAAGCCAGUUAAGCCAGCCCUUAGGAAUGCUGCAUAAGGAUGACUCCUGCAUUGGGAUUGGAGCCUUACGAAGUUUAGGUCAAGACGGGCUGACACUCAGCAGCAGGGUUGCCAGCACCCACCUACAGCCUCAAUAGCAUGGGUCCCCAGGUCCCAUCCUUUUUACCACUGAGAGGGCGAUUUCAAUAAUGCAGUGUCAAGGGACUACUGUGU